RNAcentral lists this ribosomal RNA (2815 nucleotides) under Serratia sp. YC16. RNAcentral's name for it is "partial 23S ribosomal RNA". It matches the Rfam family "Bacterial large subunit ribosomal RNA". Lineage: Bacteria; Pseudomonadati; Pseudomonadota; Gammaproteobacteria; Enterobacterales; Yersiniaceae. The record is from RNAcentral.
GGGUUGUGAGGUUAAGUGACUAAGCGUACACGGUGGAUGCCUAGGCAGUCAGAGGCGAUGAAGGGCGUGCUAAUCUGCGAAAAGCGUCGGUAAGGUGAUAUGAACCGUUAUAACCGGCGAUACCCGAAUGGGGAAACCCAGUGUGUUUCGACACACUAUCAUGUCAUGAAUACAUAGUGGCAUGAGGCGAACCGGGGGAACUGAAACAUCUAAGUACCCCGAGGAAAAGAAAUCAACCGAGAUUCCCCCAGUAGCGGCGAGCGAACGGGGAGGAGCCCAGAACCUGAAUCGGCUUGUGUGUUAGUGGAAGCGUCUGGAAAGUCGCGCAGUAAAGGGUGAUAGCCCCGUACACUAAAAUGCACAGGUCGUGAGUUCGAUGAGUAGGGCGGGACACGUGACAUCCUGUCUGAAUAUGGGGGGACCAUCCUCCAAGGCUAAAUACUCCUGACUGACCGAUAGUGAACCAGUACCGUGAGGGAAAGGCGAAAAGAACCCCGGCGAGGGGAGUGAAAUAGAACCUGAAACCGUGUACGUACAAGCAGUGGGAGCACCUUCGUGGUGUGACUGCGUACCUUUUGUAUAAUGGGUCAGCGACUUAUAUUUUGUAGCAAGGUUAACCGUAUAGGGGAGCCGUAGGGAAACCGAGUCUUAACUGGGCGAAUAGUUGCAAGGUAUAGACCCGAAACCCGGUGAUCUAGCCAUGGGCAGGUUGAAGGUUGGGUAACACUAACUGGAGGACCGAACCGACUAAUGUUGAAAAAUUAGCGGAUGACUUGUGGCUGGGGGUGAAAGGCCAAUCAAACCGGGAGAUAGCUGGUUCUCCCCGAAAGCUAUUUAGGUAGCGCCUCGUGAACUCAUCUUCGGGGGUAGAGCACUGUUUCGGCUAGGGGGCCAUCCCGGCUUACCAAACCGAUGCAAACUCCGAAUACCGAAGAAUGUUAUCACGGGAGACACACGGCGGGUGCUAACGUCCGUCGUGAAGAGGGAAACAACCCAGACCGCCAGCUAAGGUCCCAAAGUCAUGGUUAAGUGGGAAACGAUGUGGGAAGGCAUAGACAGCCAGGAUGUUGGCUUAGAAGCAGCCAUCAUUUAAAGAAAGCGUAAUAGCUCACUGGUCGAGUCGGCCUGCGCGGAAGAUGUAACGGGGCUAAACCAUGCACCGAAGCUGCGGCAGCGACGCUUAGGCGUUGUUGGGUAGGGGAGCGUUCUGUAAGCCGUUGAAGGUGGCCUGUGAGGGUUGCUGGAGGUAUCAGAAGUGCGAAUGCUGACAUAAGUAACGAUAAAGCGGGUGAAAAGCCCGCUCGCCGGAAGACCAAGGGUUCCUGUCCAACGUUAAUCGGGGCAGGGUGAGUCGACCCCUAAGGCGAGGCUGAAAAGCGUAGUCGAUGGGAAACAGGUUAAUAUUCCUGUACUUGGUGUUACUGCGAAGGGGGGACGGAGAAGGCUAGGCUAGCCGGGCGACGGUUGUCCCGGUUUAAGCGUGUAGGGGGUGUGACCUGGUAAAUCCGGUUGCAUAUCAACCCUGAGGCGUGAUGACGAUGCACUACGGUGCAGAAGUAGUUGAUGCCCUGCUUCCAGGAAAAUCCUCUAAGCUCCAGGUAACAUUAAAUCGUACCCCAAACCGACACAGGUGGUCAGGUAGAGAAUACCAAGGCGCUUGAGAGAACUCGGGUGAAGGAACUAGGCAAAAUGGUGCCGUAACUUCGGGAGAAGGCACGCUGGCAUGUAGGUGAAGUCCCUUGCGGAUGGAGCUGAAGCCAGUCGAAGAUACCAGCUGGCUGCAACUGUUUAAUAAAAACACAGCACUGUGCAAACACGAAAGUGGACGUAUACGGUGUGACGCCUGCCCGGUGCUGGAAGGUUAAUUGAUGGGGUCAGCCGCAAGGCGAAGCUCUUGAUCGAAGCCCCAGUAAACGGCGGCCGUAACUAUAACGGUCCUAAGGUAGCGAAAUUCCUUGUCGGGUAAGUUCCGACCUGCACGAAUGGCGUAAUGAUGGCCAGGCUGUCUCCACCCGAGACUCAGUGAAAUUGAACUCGCUGUGAAGAUGCAGUGUACCCGCGGCAAGACGGAAAGACCCCGUGAACCUUUACUAUAGCUUGACACUGAACAUUGAGCCUUGAUGUGUAGGAUAGGUGGGAGGCUUUGAAGCGUGGACGCCAGUCUGCGUGGAGCCAUCCUUGAAAUACCACCCUUUAAUGUUUGAUGUUCUAACUCUGCCCCGUGAUCCGGGGUGAGGACAGUGUCUGGUGGGUAGUUUGACUGGGGCGGUCUCCUCCCAAAGAGUAACGGAGGAGCACGAAGGUUAGCUAAUCACGGUCGGACAUCGUGAGGUUAGUGCAAAGGCAUAAGCUAGCUUGACUGCGAGAGUGACGGCUCGAGCAGGUACGAAAGUAGGUCUUAGUGAUCCGGUGGUUCUGAAUGGAAGGGCCAUCGCUCAACGGAUAAAAGGUACUCCGGGGAUAACAGGCUGAUACCGCCCAAGAGUUCAUAUCGACGGCGGUGUUUGGCACCUCGAUGUCGGCUCAUCACAUCCUGGGGCUGAAGUAGGUCCCAAGGGUAUGGCUGUUCGCCAUUUAAAGUGGUACGCGAGCUGGGUUUAGAACGUCGUGAGACAGUUCGGUCCCUAUCUGCCGUGGGCGUUGGAAGAUUGAGAGGGGUUGCUCCUAGUACGAGAGGACCGGAGUGAACGCACCACUGGUGUUCGGGUUGUCAUGCCAAUGGCAUUGCCCGGUAGCUAAGUGCGGAAAAGAUAAGCGCUGAAAGCAUCUAAGCGCGAAACUUGCCUCAAGAUGAGUCUUCCCUGGACCUUUAAGG